RNAcentral lists this long non-coding RNA (17652 nucleotides) under Trifolium pratense (red clover). RNAcentral describes it as "long non-coding RNA (TPRA_LNC001089)". Lineage: Eukaryota; Viridiplantae; Streptophyta; Magnoliopsida; Fabales; Fabaceae. The record is from RNAcentral.
CAUAGGAAGAGAGAGAACAUGGCUAAAAAUCUCAAGUUAGUUCCUGCUAUAAUUUUAUUUCUUUUCCUAUUUCUUAUUACGAAGGAUGAUUUCAAGGAUCCAAAAGUCAUUGCAACAUCUAUCCCAUGUACAUCUACUAAUGAUUGUCCUAAAAUAUCUGCACGUAGCAAACAUGUCGCUAAUGUAUGCAUGGAUGGCUAUUGUCAUAAAAUGAUUUUCAAGCCAUAGAAAGUAAACAAACGCCACAUGUAGGGAAGAUUAAUGAAUUCUUCCGGUAGCAACCAAUAAUUAUAUUUUAAUUUUUUGUUUUUUAAUUUCAUGCAUCUUGCAACUUUGCCUUUGUACUCUAAAAUAUUGGUAAUGAAAUUAAAUUAAAUAGUCUGUUUAUCUCUUGUUUUGGAUGUCUCACAAAUAUUUCACCCACCUUUGACUUUGUACUCUCAAAUUUGUUUCGGCUAUAAUUUUACUUUUUUCCUAUUUUUUGCUGCGAAGAAAGUUGACAGUUAGCCAAAUAUCACUGCAACAUUUAUCAGAUGUAAUCAUGUAAAAGUGCUGACGAUUGUCCACAAAUAUUUGUAGGCAACACACAACUUUUCUAUGUGCAUUAAUGGCUAUUGUGAACAAGAGUACUGAAUAUCAAAUUCAAGAGAGUAGAUAAAGGCACCAAUGGGUAAUUUCAAUAAACUAGCUUAUAGUUAUUGAACUAACUUAUAAGUUUGUUUGAUAAAAAUAUGAAGUGUUUGGUAACGAGCUUUUUUAACUAACUUAUAGCAUUUUUUGAGAUGCUAUUUCAAGUAGCGUAUGAGUUUAUAGCUUAUAGCUUUUUACAUUUAUCCCAUUUUUACCCUUAUUAUUUUUAUUUAUUAUUUCUUUAUUUUUUUUUAAAUAUAAUAACUACCCACUAACCAUACCCAUUAAUCAUGCACUUUUAUGUCAUUUUGUACUUACAACAACUAAAUUUACCAAACACAUUAAUUUUAUUCUACUAGCUUUUCAGCUAUAAGCUAUCCGCCACCAGCUAUCAGCUAUAAGUUAGCUUUUCAGCUAUCAACUAACUUAUAGCUUAUUUUUAUCAAACAGAGCCAAACUAACAAAUAUGAAGACUCUCCAUUGAUGAAGGAGAAAAAACUUGAAUAUGAGACAUAAAGAUUGAAAUCAAGUUAAAAAUUGGUAAUAAUGCAUAUAUAUAUAGAUGAAGUAGUUACAACUAUCUUAUCUACAUAGACUAACAAACAUAACUAACUCCCUUGAGCAUGUAAAUGUUAGUGAGCCCUGUUGCAGGUAUUGAGCAUGUAAAUUUUAACCAAAAGAAUAUGAUAGUAGCCAUCAAGAAUAAAAAGAAAAAGAUGCAGAAAUCUUUAUUAAGCAUAAACCUUUAUUGUUUGACCCCUUAUACUUCUAUAUUAUUUUGAGAGGUUUAGACCUCUUUUAAUAUUUCUUUUCUAGAACAUAUUAUUACCUCUAUAGCAUCGACACUUUUGAUCAAAUGCGUGUCCAAUAGAACAUGUAAUGAAUGGGAAAAAAUUGCUAAAAGAGAAUUAUCAAAGGCAAUGAAUUAAAGAUGAUUCAAAUGGAAUGUUAGUAAGUUUUACCAUACUAUUGACCAACAAAAGGAUAUAGUUGAAUGUUAAACCAAAUUCUACACAGUUAACACUACAAAAGAAAAUGAUAACCCUGCAUUCAAUCACUAAUGAAACUCAGAAUCACCAACGGGAAAUUGAAAUCAAAAUAAUGAAAAACAACAUUGCCAAGCAAAGAAUUUAUGAUGACAAGCAUUUAACACACAAGUGCAUGAAAGACAGCAGAUUCAUCAGAUGGAGUAGUCACAAAAAUUCUUACCCAACCUGUCUAAAAUAUUUGUGUUUGUUUAGUGGAUCGACCUUCAGCAGAUUCAAUGAUCCCACUUCUACCGUCGUUACUGGUCAUCACCUUUUUCUUAUAUCAUAGUAAGUAUAACUUUCUAUUUGAUGCACAUAUAAAGUAUUAAGAACGAUAAGAAAUAUUUGUAGAGACAAAAAGAGAGUAGUAAGAGGGAUGACAAAGGAUAAGAACUUUACUCUGAUUUUUUUUAGUGAAAUAUUUACACAAAUAUGAACAAAGUUACAUGUAAUGUCAAUGGAUGGUAUUUUUAUCCAUCUAUCAAACUGAAUUGAUCAUGCAAUUUAUAAUCCAUACAACUGAAUUAACCAUUUCACAUGUUACAUCGCUUUAAUAUAAAUGACGCAGACAAUGGAAGUAAUGAUAAUAAUCUCUCCCAACCUACUGACUUGAGAAAAACUGUGACAAACAUCAAAGGCAUGGAUCAAGUUUUUGUGGCAGUAGCUUAAGCUUCACAUUCUUGUUCAUCUUCUAAGUCAGUCAUCCAUAAUGCUCAACCUCUACAAGCUAUUGCAAUGGAUUACUGUACCAAGUCAAUUAGCUUGUUUUGAUGUUUCAAGUUCUCACCACCACUGUCGUCUUUGUCAAAAUGAAUCUCGUCCUAAGUCCUUUCAUUCUAGUUUAAUUAAAGAGAAUAACGGGGCAAAGAAAAAAAGAGGAAUAAGGACAGUAUUGUUAACAUUCACUUAAUGUUGUUACUGAAUAUUAUAGGCAAAGGUAGUAAGUUACUAUUUAGUAAAUUACAAGCACCUGCUAUUUGUCUAUGGAGAAAGAGUAUUUAGGUCUUCCAUGUCAUCGUCAGAAGAAACAUUGUUGUUAUCAAGUGUUGAGUACAUAGUUUUGUCACCAUCAAUCACCUUUUCAUUUUUCUUAUCAUCCUGAAAUCAACAACAAAAACUUAUGACCUAUCCAAAGUAUUUACAACAGAGUAAUAUAGAAGUGAUAAAAUGUCAUACUAGUUCAGAUUUGAGCAAGUCAAUCAUCUCCUGUAAAUCUGAGAUAUGAUGUUUUAGUGCCUGAAAAAAAUAUACAAAGUUCAUGAGAUUAUAGAACAAGUAAAAAUCUCAGUAACUCCUUUUUUUUUACAGGCUAUUGCUUUAUUACCUCUAGUCUUUGAAGCUCCAUUGAUCGAGCCAAUGCCUGUCUCCGUGUCAACAAGCUUUUGGGCCUAAUAACCUGUGGACGGAAGUAGUUCUUCCCACGAUAAAUAAUUAUUAUAUGGCCUUUGGUAUCCUUGUCUACAGACACUAGCACCCCACCACUCUCAGCUUCCAAAGAUAUUGCAAUGUGUUUAACUUGGGCUAAAUUUUUCCCUUUUACAAGUAUCUUUACCAACUCGCGAUAUUUCCAGUGUAGAUGCAUGUUUUCUAUGGUGCCGGCAUAAACAUCUCGCCUCCCUGAAAAUCUCAUGCUUUUAACAUAUUUUGUAUAAUAAAUAUGUACAAAAGCAGAACUUAUAAAGCUAUAGUAAAUUUGUUGUUCUUACCUAGAAGUAAGUAUGGCUUCAUACUCAAACCCAUCUUCCUAAACAAAAUUCUCUCUUCAUUAGUUAAUGUCUCCAAAUCAGUUGGAAGGUCUGCUGCGUUGAAACCACCCUGUAUUUUAACUAAAUCUCUCUCGGCCUUCCUGAACCUUGCUUUUGCCUAUAGCCAUAUAAAGUUAGAUAGAUGUGGUAACAACAGAUAAUCUUUAAGUUAUUUCAGUUGGUCUCUUGUAACUUACUAGAGCUAGUUUAUUCUCAUGAUUUCUGAUUAAAGAAGAAAAUCUACCCAAGGUGGAUUCUCUCAUCAUUUUCUCAACUUCUUGUUUACAUGGUUGGUGUCCCCAGUUGGCGGUUGCUGCCCUAGUCUCGGCAAGGGUGCCAGCUAAUAACGGCAUUUGAGAUGAUUUGCUAUUUGAUAUAGUAAUAGAUGAAGCAGCACUUUGUCGUGCCUUCUCUUCCUCGUCUUGUUGAAUGACGGUUAGUUUCUGUCUCUCGGUCAGGGUUUUGGUGACGACAGGAGGCAAGAAGUCAUUGCCCCUGUAAAAUACAAUAUAUUCCUUAUUUCUAGAAAGUAGAGUUCCCCCAGUCAAUUUCUGCAAAUGCAUGAAAGGCAAACGCCGUAAGUUUGAAGAAUGGGAUAAUUUAUUCACUUUAAUAUGCAAUAGGGUAAAUUAUGAACAAAAACAGAUAUCGGAGUAUUUAAGCGUCAAGCACCAACAAUCCUUACAAUCUUUCUAGACAAACAAAUGUGUUGGUUAGCCUCCAAAAUGCAUGACCAUUGCAAAAGUAAAACUGCAGUCAAUCUUUUGUAUAUUAUUAAUUAAAUGAAUUUUUUAUGGGACCCAAAUCUCAUUAAAAAGAAUUCAGAACAAUAUAUUGACUACCUCCUUCAGGCAAUCCUUCAAUUGCGGCAAAUCAUUUGUGGUUUUAAUCUUAGCAACCCAUUCCCAUGAAUAUUAUCAAACUGUAAAUAUUGACAACCUAUAAUGCUAUUUUCUACAUGUUGGAAAAUUUCACACCAAUGUAAGCACAACCUGGUAAGUUCAAGAAGUCAAGUUGCUGUGUUCUGAACCAAGAGUGCUGUUUUCACUUUAACCCUGAUUAUGGUAUUAAAAACUAAUCUCAUUUACAAACUAAGCUAAUGAUUUGUUAUGAUGUACCUACAAUAUCGACCUUUGAUUUGUUAAUCAAUGACUGAUAUUACUCAUUUUAUACUUGAAAGUGAACUGCUCAAUUUAGAGGAACCAGAUCUCCUUUUUAGCAUGAUAAAUUCCAAAGCAAUUAAAUUAAACAGUAAUAUUGUCAAAUUUCUAGCGGUUCAUGAGAAAUACCUUGAGUACUUCAGCCAUCCUAUCAUUAGAUGCAAAGGGAACACCACGUUUGAUGGCUAUUUUUGCAAUAGCACUUGUUUCCCACAGCUUUACUAUAGCUCUAGCCAGACCUUGCAGUUCUCUAUUUCUUCCUGCAGCAGUAAAUAAUAGUAUCUUUUGGAAAGAAAAAUUUGAAGGCAUGAAUGUAACUAGAGAGCUUCUGGCAUACCAAGGGCAAAGUGUGGAGCUGUUCUUCUAGCAAUUCUACGCAUGACAGUUGUUUCCUUGUUGGAUAAACAAGCUUUCACCCCAUAUGGAAGAAGUCUGAAUGGUGUUUUAUACCCUUGAACAACAGCAGGUAACUGGUCUGCAUCAACAGGUAAAGGCUCACAGCCUGUCCAAUCUUUGAAGCGUGGACCCAAUUCAUCUAACAAAAGGUUGAGUUCGAUCAAUUCCAUCUUUUCUUCUUCACUCUUAUCCUUCAAAUACUCUGCAGAGUCUUGAUUAAAUGAUUCAAUAGGUCUAUCUGUUUCUUUCACACUUACUUGAGCAUUACUUCCACUUACAACAUGCAUCGAAUGAUCAACAUCAUUCUUCUUCUGAGCAUCAUAAACUUUUUUGUAUGAUUCUACACAAGGUAGUUUGUAGGUCAUUCCUCGAUAUAACACUAUGGAACUGCCCGAUCGCCAUACCACAAUACCUCCAGUUUUACUCUGAUCAAGAAAGAAAGUAAUACUAUGAAUGUAAAGGCUCUAGCAAUUCAAAUAUCCCUUGAUAAAAGACAAGUUAUUAUAAGCAAGCAACCACACUAUGACCCUGUUUGAAUAAACAACAUGACAUGAUUAAGGGCCUGUUUGGAUUUGGCAUAUUUUUUAGCUUAUGAAAAUAGUUGAUGCAAAUAAAUAAAGUUUUAUGUUAAUUUAUAAGUUUUCACUAACAAAAAUUGUAUCUUCAUAAGCUUUUUUCUCGUAAACUACUUUGAAAAGCUUAUAAUAAUACAUACAUACUAAAAGCUUAUUUAUUUGCAUAAGUUGUUUCGCACAAGCUCAAAAAUAAGUCAAUCCAAACGGGCCCCAAGUGUUUAUAGCAUAAGUGUUCAUAAUAUAAGUGCUUAUCUAUAGUCUAUCUCUAUAAGAAAUAAUAAAAUAAGGUUAAAUUAUAUUCAUACAAGUUAUAAGCCGUUUUCAUAAGCUAUCCUGAAGAGUUUACGAAAAUGAGCUAAAAACAACUUAGGAACAUGUCAUAAGUUGUUUCCAUAAGUCCUCUCAAACAGUCUCGCAAUAAUGCUAGCAGAUAAGCUCAAAUAAACCAAUCAAAAAAGUCCCUACAUAAACGACAUAAUUGAAGCAUAUGGAAGGAAGAGUGAACCUCAAGAAUUUGAUGAGCCCUUUUCAUAUUAGCAGAAAGAGGAGAAUCAAACUUGAACUUAACAACUUCAUUAACAACCCAUUUUUUAUGAAUAGAAUCCACCAAUUCUUGAGUGAUACCAGCAACUCCAACACUGAACCUUUCCACCAUUCUCAAAGCAAUACUUCUAAGCCUCCGUAAUUCAUGUUCAGGAAUCAACCUCUCUGCCAAUUCAGUAUUGCUUCUCCUUUUCUUCAAACUACUUUCUGAUUCUUGAACUUCUCUUUCCAUAACAGAACUACCAGAAUUUUUCUGUAACGGUUUCUUAUUUUCUUCAUUGUCCUCAGAAGCAUCAAAUUCAGACACAUUUUGUGGAUGUUUAGAAUUUUCUGCCACGUGCCAAGGUGAUAAACGCUUUGGAAACUCGAAAUUUAGCAUCGUUGAAGACACGUCUUCUUGAGAUUGAGGUUGUGGUCGUUCCUCUAGUUCUGGUUCUUGUUGUUGUUCUUCUGGUUCUUGCCAUGGGAAUUUUUCUCUCUGGGAAGCUAAUUUGAGGGACCAUUUAUCUCGAAUUUGGUCGGCGAAACUUGGUCUGGAGUUGUUGUUUUUCUUCUUCUUAACAACGUUAAUUUGGACUUGAGUUGUUUCGUUGGAACAAGAAAGUGCGAAUUUGAAAAUGGCGUUGGUUUUGGUUUGAAUUAGCGGUUGGAAAAACUGAAAAUGCAGAGAAGAUAUUGGUUGGAGUUGGAGUUGGAGCGCCAUCAAAUUAAUCUACCUCUUUCACAGAGAAGAUACUGCUUCAGCAAAACGGAGAGUUUUUUUUUUUGGGUUAACUGAUUUGCAAUGAAAAGGGCCAAGCCCAAAGGCCCAUUAUUUCAAAGAAAUGAGAAGACAGAAAAAGAUAGUCCAUUGUUGUUAUCAUAAUCUUAGUCAGCUUCUUUUUACACCCCUUGAUUCUUAAACCUCACUCCCGUUUAAAUUUAAGCAAACAUAUUCAAUGAGGGACUAAAAUGACAAAAUCUUGACAUUACAAUGGAGUAAUCGAAAAAAUAAUAUUACAGGGGAUAAUCAAAAUUCUCUAACAUUACAUGUAGUAAGCACUAUUUAACCCUAAAAAUUGCUUUAAAUGAAAAGUUGUUUUAAGUAGUUUUUCCAAAAAAAAGUUAAUCACUUUUGAUCAUUAUAUAAAAAAAAAAUCACUUUUUAAACCAUUUUUUUCAAAUAAUUUUCUAAUGGUAAACAAAUACAAAAAAAUAAAAUAAAAUCAGUUAAUAUGUGAAUUACUAAAAAUUAAUCUUCUAAAUUGUCUAAUAUCUAAGUUAUUUUCUUUUAUAAUAAUCUCUAACAAAUAUGGGUCCUAAAAGCAUAAUAUGGAAUUAAUUCAAGCAAACAAUUAUAAAUAUGGCACUCCAUGCAUGCAUGUGUUUUUUGUUCUGUUCCUUGUUGAUGAUGAUGAUGAUAGCAUUAAAGUUGUAUAUUUUUUUCAUUUGUGCAUGAAUCAUGAUGAUGAUCAUCUUUAGAAUAUUUAGCUAUCAUUACAUAUUUACAAUAAAGAUUCUCUCAUGUCAAUUUUUCUAUACCGUAGCCUAUUAAUCCACGACAAAACAAUUACUAGUAAUUUUGAAAUCUAGCUAUGAACUGAAAAAUGUGAUGUGAUAUGUCAAACUUUAACAUCCUUAAUCGAAUUUUUAGAAGACAAAAGGCACACCUAGCUAAAUGUCUAUAGACAAAGUGAACACAGAAAAACACAUUUUACACACACCUUAUAGCGAUAGAUACAUUUCAUGGGGUGGCAGGCUAGCUUGGUUCCCUUUGGUUGGGGUCUAUGAUAUGUAUGUUCCACGGUGAUCCAGUUCAACAUUUUCUAUGGUUUGGAGAGUACUCCUUAUACCGAAAAUGAGGACGAUGAUGGAUAACAUUUUAAAUGAUGAAGUGAAUAAAUAAUCUUUGCUACCGUUCUAACCCAUUGACAUUUGAUCCACCCUAGCUCACUACAAAAAUCUAUUCUAGGUACACAAUUUCUAUUCCUAAAAAUCUUACCGUAUUUGCUCUCAUCAUUUCUUGAGAGCAAAAUGGAGAAAAUAGGGGGGGCGAUGAUGAAGAAUAUUUUAAAUGAUGAAUUGAAUAAAUACUCCGAGCUACAGUCUUAAUUCAUUGACAUCUCUAUUUGGAUCUAACCUAACUCACUACAUGUUGGUAUUCAUUUUGAUAAACGUCGAUCAUAACGAUCUCUCUCACACACAUACAAACAAAUACAUCGACAAUUUUUUUUUUAUACGUACAGAGCACAUCGACAAUUUUAGAUACACAAUUUCUAUUCCUAAAAAUCUCAAACUAUUUACUCUCAUCCUUUCUUGAGCUUUAGAAUGUUUAUAGGUACCCACAAACUAUGUUUAUAGGAACCCACAAACUUCAAUUUUAACUAAUUACUACAUGACAUCAAAUCAACAUUCUAAUCACUCCAAAUUAAUUAAUACUUUAGAUGGAAGUAAAGAAAAUCUAACCAUUAUUAUUUCAAUAAACUUGGGCACAAUGGCGACAUAUAUAUUCAUAAUCAUCAAGCUCACUUAACAUGCAACAAUACAUUCAUAUAGUCAUGGCGACGUUUAACAUGCACAAGUUUCUUAAAUGGUGCAUGGUGUACAAGUAGUGAAUUACAUUAUAAUAAAUACGAAUUUUAUAAAAUUCAUCGUUGAUUUGAAAAUUUAUAUCUUAUAGAUCAUCCAUAAUUUUUUUUAAAGAAAUUGAAAAUUAUUUGAUAUGUUAUAAAGAUCCGUCAAAAUUAACAGUAUUCAAUAAAAAUCAUAAACGGUUAAUUUGAUGGAUUUCAAUAACAUAUAAAAUGAUUUUUAAUUUCUUUAAAAAAAAUUAGGGAUAAUCUAAUGAUAUAAACUUUCAAUCCAACGGUGAGUUUUGUAAAUUCAUAUUCGUUAUAAUGUUAUUCAUUACUGAUACACCAUACAUCACGUGAGAAACUCGUGCAUGUUGGAGAAAGGUUAUAGUCCUCAAUCCUCAUGCAGUACUGUAUAUGUAUGAAACACAACCCCCCACUAGUCACUACUCACCACCACCUAAAGAAGAAAAAGAGGCAUGUUUCAUUUUCAGUGAUUGCUGGCAACAGCCAUUAUCAUUCCAAUUCCAUAAUACGAACUGUUGUGAUGCGAUAUUAAUUUGCUCUGGCCCGCAGCUCCGGUCUUCAGAUCCGAUUUGAUAUGGAAAUCCUUUUUCAUGGAAUCUUUGAAAUUCUUAUUAUUUUAUACACUUAUAUAAGCUCGUAUUCUUUCCAAAUAUUUUUAGGAUUUAAUAAUUCAUAUGCAGUGACACCGUGUAAAAUUACAAAAAAUUGACUUUCAUCCUAUCUAGUAAUUUUAUUUUAUUUUUAAACAAUCCUAUCUAGUAAUUUAAAAGUACUUCAUCGUCCAUCCGAUUCUUUUUAAGCGUCUUUUUAGAAAAAUCACUACAUUAUAUACUCCAUCCGUUAUAGUAAAAAAAAAAUUAAAAAAUUUGACGGGGUGCCCCGUCAACUCAUCAACCCGCCAAUAAACAGAGUGGAGUUGAAUUUUACUCGCACAUCUAAAUUGAUGUGCCCCGUCCAUGGUCGUUUCUGAGGGAGGACAAUUGUCCUAGGUCCUUAAAAAUUAGGGGCCCAAUAUAUAUUUUUUAGGAGUAUAUAUAUAAUGUAUAAUGUUCUUAUGCAUCAAAUGUUGAUGUAGGCAUUGGUAUGACCACUUCAUCCCUCCUUUAUAUAUUUAUGAUCUACAAAUUGGGGUAUUUUUGUUGCUAAAUGGAGGGAUGCUUUAAUUAAAAAUGAGUCUAUUAAGGAAUUGAAUCUCACAUUUCCUAAAGACAAUAUUUCUAGGCAUUUGUCAUAUUCUUAUUUUUCUAGAAUGUUGAGUAAUGGAGAGACUUUUGAAAGAAAAUGGUUGGUUUACUCUAAACAUGUGGAUAAAAAUAUUGUUUUUGUUGUAAAUUUUUCACUUCUCAAAAUAGCAGCCAUAUGAUUUUUUUAGCAAAUGAUGGAGUGAAUGAUUGGAAACAUCUAAAAAUACUCGUAGAAAUUAUUUUAUAUGAAUUUAAUUUUUUUGGUCUAGAUUUUGUAUGAAUAUUUUAAUAUUAAAUAAAAAUUUCAAUGUUUUUUUGGAAUUCGAUUUUUUUAUACUCUUUAGUAGUUAAACCUAAAUUAUAAAUUCGCCCGUAAACCAUCAAAAUCAUAAAAAUGGGGCUGGCUCCGUCCCAUUUUUGGUGCGGGUAUGAGCCUAAACGGGACAGGCUGCUCGCUUUCUCACCCUAGUAUAUCAAGUAUCAAUACCCUAAAUCUAUAUACCUACAAAUUUACCAUCAAAUAAUGCCACCUAGUCAACCAUAUCUUUAUUUUCUUUGGCUUGGAACUAGUCUACUAUAUAUACAUUGGAGGGAAUAUCUAAUGGAAGUGACAUAACAUAAUCUUAGUUUCAUUUCCCUGCUUGACUUUUCAUUGAUAAUAACAAUGUUACCUUAGAUGCUCACAAACGAAAUCUUGUCCCGAAGAAAAUCUUGUCCCUUGUCUCCAUCAGUUUCCAUUGUUAUAUACCCUUCCAUGCAUGAAUCAAAAAAGUUCGAUGAAUCAGAGUGACUGAUUCUGUGAUCCCAAAAUCAAAUCUUAGGAGAUCUUAUGAUAGUAAUUGCCAAAUUUUUGACUAUCCUUAAAAUGGAAAUACAAAUUCCAAUGUGGAUGUAAGAUAAUCUAUAAAAGAUCUUAUAUUAAAGUGACAAGGUGGUUUAAUUAGAAGGACAAAUAUAAAGAUUGAAUUUUAAGAUAUAAAGAGGUUGACUUGACCCACUCUUUCACAGAAAUUUCUAACACUCAACUACUAAUAUUUGUGAUAUGAAAUCAAAAUAAAAAAUAAAGUAUUGAACAUAUAUAAUUGUGUGUUCAAUGUGUUGCUUUCUUAUCACUUAAUACAUGUAUAUUUAUUUACUUUUAUAAAAAGAUAAAAUAAAAAUAUGUUACUUGAUCCUAUGGGAUGAAAAUAUGUCCAAUUGCUGGGAAUCGUCGUGACCGUGAUGAUUCAUGCAAUAUCAUAGGAUAUAUACGCGUACGUAAUAGUAUUAAAUAUUUCUUUUUAAUAUAGGAGUAUACUCCUAAUCCUAUAGGUUACCACACAUGAAAUUUCAUGAUGACGUUUUUACAUUACCAUUUGGUUCUACACUUCUACUAAUAUCGUAUCUUUGAAUUUGACAUUUUAUGGGCUUUGUAAAGAAAAUCAAUUAUGAUAAGAACGUUGUAUUAUAAAUGUAUAGGAUCGUAGUUUGAAUCUCGGUCAUCACAUUUAUCUAUCUUAAAAGUGAAAUUUUUAAUCACUAAAAUACAUAACCAAAAAGGAAAAAAACUUGAAUCCGACUUUUUAAAAUAAAUUAAGGGUCCGUUUGGAUUGACUUAUUUUUAAGCUUAUGCGAAAUAGCUUAUACAAAUAAAUAAGUUUUUAUGUAUUAUUUUAAGAUUUUCAAGGUAGUUUAUGAGAAAACAACUUAUAAAAAUACAAUUUUUGUCGGUGAAAACUUAUGAAUCGACGUAAAAAUUUAUUUAUUUGCAUAAUUCAUUUUUAUAAGCUCGAAAAUAAGUCAAAUCCAAACAGACCUUAAGAUCAAGAUGUAAAUACGAUCUGCCAUUUUUUUUAGAAACGAUAUGUCAUUACUAUAUGUUAAAAGCUUCUUUUUUUAAGGUAUAUUUGGCAAGACAAAAUGUUAGCUUAUAAUUUAUAACUUAUAAUUUUUAUUUUUUUGGUACAAAUGACUUAUAAUUUAUAUGACUAAAAAAAAUAAUAUUAGAUAAAAAAAAAAUUGGGCUAAGUUAAAUUUCCAUCAUGACUUUGGUCCUACUUUUUUAGUCAACUCAUGUAAAUUAUUCAAAAUUUUAAAAAAAAUUUAUAAAAGUUUAAAUUUUUUUUUUUAACAAGGGAUACAUUAAAUAUGCUUUUUUUUUAAGAUUUUGGCAUUUAAAUAUUCAUAUUUAAUUCAUCUUAUAUUAAGAAAUUCUAAAUUUUUAUAAUGUGCCUUCUUCUCUGCACCAGUUAAUUAUUAAUAAAAUGAUCUAGCUUUGCUUUUACUAGCUAAAACAAAAUUUAAAUUUUUAUGGGUGAGAUUCUUAUAAUAUAAUAAAAGAUUAAAUAUAUUUUUGGUCUCAACAUUUUAUUCGCUUUUUAGCAGUAGUCUCCACAUUUCAAAAAUGUUUUUAAAUCCAUAUAGUUUACAUUUGUUACAAAAUUUAGUCCCUCUAUUUCUUUUCUAGGCAGAAAUUAAGCUGACGUGACACACGGUGGACAUGAUUAAAUACGUUUUUUGUUCCUAUAUUUUCCUCACUUUUUUAACAAUAAUCCAUACAUUUAAAAAUAUUGUUUUUAAUUAAAAUUCCUAUGGUUUACUUCAGGUACCAAUAGUCUCUUUGUUUGUUUUAGGCUUAAAGCUGACGUGUCAAAAACAAUAUUAUAUAUUAGCCAAAUUAAUCACCUAAUUAAUCCAAAAUGUUUCAAAAUGUUGUGGCUAGUAAUUAAAUCACCUAAUUAAAGAAAUUAAUCAAAUGUUAAAUAAACUAUCAUUAGUUAGUAAAAAAGAGUAAACUGUCAUUUUAAAUUUUAAUUAAAAAAAAGGAAACGCAAGUGUCCCUGUCCACCACUCGACCCACUACUCUGAGUCCCUCCACCGCAACUGAAAGUCGACGACAUAUCAAGCAUUUUCGUCCUAUGUUGAUCAGAAUAAUUAAAGAUAAUAAUUAGUUGUGUUAAUUUUAAUGAUAAAAGAAGCUUCAUUUAUUAAAAUACAAUAAAUAAUCAUGUACUGGUGAAACUAAUUGAAGCACAUUAAUUACAAAAUAAUCACGUUUUGAUGAUGGCAAAAUAAAAAGUUUCUCGAGCUUAGUUUACUUGCAGAAACAUUGCAUUAUAUAUAUAUAUGGGUCGGAAUUCGAACUCCGGUCAUCCACUUGUCCAUAUUAGAGUAAAAUUUAUAGCCACUAAACUAUUUGAAAAAAAAAAUAAAAAAUAAUGUCAAACAACCGUACAACAGAUUAAAGCAUAUACCGACGGACAUUUAUUGUCAUCGACUUGCUUCCUUGACUAUAAGUUAUAGCGACGGAUUAUUGUCUGCUUGAGGAAAUAUCUUGCUUUUCUAAGGUUUUGUUUCCAUGGUCUAAAUUUUAAUGAAAACUCCUUUUUCUUAUACCGUUGGCAUAUAAAUUUAGUAUAAGUAAAACAAUAUAUACAUACUUAGUUAAGUUAACUUUUGUUGGCAUACUCUCCUUUCUUUUUCUCCUCUUCUAACUUUAUCAAAGAUGAGGUGGUUUAAGGUCGGAAUCAUCUCUCUAAAAUAUUUUUUUAUUUUUUAAUUAAAUAAGUGUGAUUUUUACACAUAUAUUUAGUGUUUCUUUCAAAAAAUUAUUAUUGAGAUUUUAUCUUUUUUUAUGUGGUGUAUUUUGUUUUUUUUUUCUUUGUGCAAUGUAUUAAUAAUAAAUAAAAAAAUUAAAAGAAAGUACAAUUUUUAAGUUAACUAUAAAUAAAAGGAAAAUGCAAAAUAUUGUUCCCGAACACUAAUUAAGUAUAUUAAUAUAGAAGUUUUAUCUUAAAAAUUGUGCAUUUAAUACCUUAAAAACAUAAAAACUUAUCUUUUUAGCAUUUAUUUUAUCUUUAGUUUCAUUUUUUAGUAUGCUUAACAAAUAUCCCGAGACACUGUUUAGCAUGACCCUAAAUAAAAUUAUCUUUAUCUUUAUUUAUUAUAGUCAUAGACCCUUAAUUAAAUAAUUUUUGAAGUGGUCUUAAUUAAAUGGAUGUAUAUAUCAAUAUAUGAAUUUAUGGGAUAUAUAUGAAAAUUCCUUUUUUCAUGACUCAUGACUCUUUCCCAUGCAAGUUCCUCUAUUUAUAGCUAGCCCUUGCCAGUUGUCCCUUGCAUAUUCUCCAUUUUCAUCAACAAAAUGACUAAAACUUACCCUUUUUUCAUCAAUUUCAUACUACUACUACUAUUAACCACAUCCCAUUUAAAAUCCACCGUACAAAAAUCAGAUCAAUGCAAAACUCUGGUACCACCAGAGCUAGCAAAUUUAGACACUAUAUCCAAUAAACUCCAUAAUGACCCUAAAACCAUCAAAAUUGCUUCCAAUGACUAUGGAAACAUAAUUCAAGAAUUCCCAAUAGCAGUAUUUCAUCCAUCUUCAAUACAAGACAUAAUAACCUUAAUUAAAAUCUCAAACAAUAGCUCUGUUCCUUUCACUAUAGCAGCCAGAGGACAAGGUCACUCUACUAAUGGACAAUCAAUGGCACGUGAUGGAGUUGUAGUUGACAUGGCUAGCUUCAGAAAACAAAGAAAAGGGAUUGCAAUUAGUGUCUCUGAAGACCCUUUGAUUGGUUACUAUGUUGAUGUUGGAGGAGAACAACUAUGGAUUGAUGUUUUGUAUGAAACACUUGAAUAUGGAGUUGCACCAGUUUCUUGGACUGAUUAUCUUUACCUGACGGUUGGAGGAACACUUUCCAAUGCUGGAAUUAGUGGUCAGACGUUUAGAUAUGGUCCUCAAAUCACUAAUGUUCUUGAACUGGAUGUGAUUACAGGUAUGAUUAAUCAUGAAAGUUUGCAAAUCAUUAAUUAUAUAUAGAUUGUUAUUUUUGUCUCUUUUUCUAAUUUCUAAUGGAAAUUAAUGCUAACUAGUGUCACACUAUAGCUUAUGGAAAAUGCUAAAGUGUGGUAGACAAUUAAAUUUAUCAAUACUGUAUAAAAAUUAUGUCUUGAAAUUUUUGAAAUUUAUAUAUUUAAUACUGUGUAAAAAGGUAUGUUACCAAUAUUAAUUUUAUCUUUUUUUUUGUAUGCUUAACAAGUGUUUCGGAGGCACUGUUUAGCAUUACUCGUAGUUUAAUAUAAUAAAAUAGUUUUGGAUCAAAGCCACUAAUUUUGGUUUAGUGGUGAGAGUUUUGGAUAAUAGGCUAGAGAUUGUAAGUUUGAUCCCCGACUUUAUUGUAAAAAAAAAUAAAAAAGUUUUGGAUCUUAUGUAAUUAAUCUUUUUAAAAUAUUAAAAAUGUUGAUUUUAAUACAAAAUUUAUAUCUUUUAUUUUUCUUAACUAAUUAUGUGAAACACUAGUUAGCAUGACAUUUUUUUAAUUUGCCAUAUUUUUGUUCUCAAGGUUAUUACUUUUUUUUAAGAAAGAGAGGAUUCUUGGAGUAUUAGUUUUUUUUUNNNNNNNNNNNNNNNNNNNNNNNNNNNNNNNNNNNUUUUUUGAAGACCGGAGUAUUAGUUAAUAUAGAGAGUAUAAUAAUAAAUUUUUGUUGCGACUAUAAAAAAUAUUUGAGGUAAAUAAGUGAGAGAUCUUAGAGUUUUUUUAUAAGUAAAUGGUACUAUAUAAAGGAACUACUAAAGAGAGAUCUUAGGUUUGAACUUUGGUCCUGUCUGUAUGACACUAGCUAGCAUGAGACUUUCUUAACUACCAUAUUAUUUGUUCAAUUUCUUUUCCUCAAUUUCUCUCAAUUUAUACAUCUUAAUCAUUGAUCAAUUUUUCAUCAUUUUUUUAUAAUUAAAAUAUUAACACGUAUUUUUUANNNNNNNNNNNNNNNNNNNNNNNNNNNNNNNNNNNNNNNNNNNNNNNNNNNNNNNNNNNNNNNNNNNNNNNNNNNNNNNNNNNNNNNNNNNNNNNNNNNNNNNNNNNNNNNNNNNNNNNNNNNNNNNNNNNNNNNNNNNNNNNNNNNNNNNNNNNNNNNNNNNNNNNNNNNNNNNNNNNNNNNNNNNNNNNNNNNNNNNNNNNNNNNNNNNNNNNNNNNNNNNNNNNNNNNNNNNNNNNNNNNNNNNNNNNNNNNNNNNNNAAAAUUAUCCUAUCCUGCUGGUAACUCAGCUCAAAUUCAGGAUAAGAAUUUUAACUAGAGAGACAUGAUAGGAUAAGCUACAGGAUUAACUUAUCAUAUUCUGUUGUGUCACCAAACACUGGACUGAAACAAGAUAUGAUACAGUUAUCCUAUCCUGUCUCUUAUCCUGUGCACCAAACGGGAGUGUUUAAUCUUAGACCUCCUCAAUAUAACUUUUUCAGCUAAUCCUUGUUAUACCUAAUCUUUUGGUUUUUAGGUUUAGCAUUUUUAUUAAAUUUUACAUUUUCAAAAAAAAAAAAAAACUUUUUCAGCGUCUAUAUAAGCUUUAAUUUUUAUUUUUUGAAUGACAAAUAGUAAGUUUUAAUUAGCUGUCUUACAUAUUCAUGCUUAAUACUAAUCAGGAAUAUUCUUUUCCUUUUUUGACUCUAUAGUCUUUGCCUAAGUACUAUAAUUAUAGGUAAAUGAUGUGAAAUGUUUCCUCAAGGUUAGAAUAAGUUCACACGGUCCAAGUCUCCUACUCUUGACAAACUUGUAUGUUAUUAGUCCAAGUCUUAAUUAAUUUUUCAAUUAUCUAGCUUUCAUAUAGAAAAACCGUAGAAAACAGCAUGGAAAAACAUACCGUUAUUGAUGUAUAUACAACAUGCAUAUCCUUUGUAAUUAAAAUAUUUAAUUAAUUGUUGUCAUAAUCUAUCUACCUAAUUGGUUUGGUUUUUAGGAAAAGGAGACUACGUAAAGUGCUCUAAUGAGAAGAAUUCAGAGUUAUUUAACGCGGUUCUUGGAGGUUUAGGACAAUUUGGAGUUAUAACAAGGGCAAGGAUUUCUCUUCAGCCAGCUCCCACAAUGGUACGGUUAUACACAAUUGUCAAUUAAAUUUUGUCUUGUAGUUCUUUUUUCUCCAACAUAAGUACACCAAAUCUAGUUGUCAUAUAGUAUAUAUUUUUUGACCAUAUCAUGUUUUAAUUUUAUGAGAUAGGCUAUGUCCUUGUCGUCCAUAACCCACUAUGAUGUCUAUAUGUUUUCUUGGAAGUUACGGGUCAUAUAUUCCCCUUUAUCUAUUCCAUUGGUCAUAUCCACUAAAGACACAUUCACAAAUGAUAAUAGGGUAUAUUGAGUUAUAUGUACACAUAUAUAAGAGUAUGAAUCGUUGAAUUAAUAUGAUAUAUGAUAUGGACUUUUGAAAUUAAAAAUGUAUCUUAUGAGUCUAUAAAAAUAAAAUAAAAUAAAUCACUCUUGAAAUUAUAACACUUGGAUCAUGAGCAAAUGAUAAGCUGGUAGAGGUGAGAAUAGAUUAUUAGGUUGAUCUAAGACUUUACAAAACAUAAUUCGGUACGAUAAACAAAAUUCUAGCACCCAAAUCUAGUAUAUUACUUAUUAUUGACUUAUCUUUGGUAUGAGUCUGAUCAUUUUUAGCCAAAUACCUGCCUCCGAUAUUAUAUAUAGAAAAAAAUUAUUUUUUAGAUUCAUUGUAAAAUUUAUGUAUUUAGACGACCUGAUGGAGUAGUUUUAGCGUGAGUCUGUUAGCCUCUCUUUCGGUUGAUCAGACCUACUUCCAUUCCUACUUAUAGUUACGAGUAGUCAUAUUUUUCUCACUUAUACUAAAGAAUUUUCAUUUAUAUAAUUAUAAUUAUUCUUUUAAAAGGCAAAAUAGUUCAUAUUAUUAUUUUUUUUUCUUCGAAUUUUGUAGUGUGUCUCGUUACAUAAAAAAAAAAACACAUUAUCGAUGUAGAAUUAGUUUGCAUAUAUGUGCCAUUAAAUAAUGUGGCAACACAUUAGACAGGGAGUGAAAUGAUUUCGCAUAUUACAGCAUAUAGAAAUUAAAUU